CGGAGGGCGCCGGAAGUGGGCGCAGCUGCUGACGACCCGUUGGCCCACCUGCCUGCAAAGGACGCCGGGAAGCGCCGUCACCUGCGCGGCGGGGCGGCCUGGAGGGCGGGUGGUCUCACGGCGCUGCGGCCAGAGCGGGCGACGCUCCUCCCCGCUACGGUGACGGAGGGGCUUUGUGGGGACGCAGGAGCUGGGAGCGGCCGGCAGCGUCACAGGGCGGGACGCUAGGAGGCAGCAGUCCACACCCCCCCCCCCCGCUUUUGUUCUUUCUGGAGACGGAGCCUGAUUGGCCGGCUGGGACCGGACCGCUUGAUUGACAGUCGAGGGUCCGGACCGAAGGUGUGGGGGAGACCACGGUUCCGGGAGCGGGUCGUCGAUCCGGGGGUCGCGACCCAGAACCCGAACCAGUCCUGCAGUGCUUCCCGAAGCUCCUCCGGCAGUUUCGGUCACUGGUGCCCGACCAGCUAAGAGCGCCUGCCAGGAGGCGCUGCCUCCUUGGAUGGCGGGGAAUUUGCAUGUCUCUGCUUUCAAUUUAGGGUGAAAAAGGAGAAAAAUUAGUAAUUCGUCGGGAUCAGAAAUGUGACAUCUGAUUCUCGGGGAGGACGGUAUCCAUUUCACACGCAGCCGGAAACCUAGAGAGUGAAGAGGAAAUCAGAAUUUAAGUGCAUUCCAGCCAGCCUUUCCCUGUCUCUCAGUUACAGACUUGCCACCAUCUGUCCGCGUUCAGCAGACCACCACUUGACAUUUGGACCCAGUAGCUCUUUACAGCCUCAAAAUAACUCUAAAUGUCAUCCAGAUUCACUUUAUAGAUAAGUAGCCCGUGACUUCAAACACUGGAACCUAAAUUAACAAGGUGGAAGUUAAGUAUUCAUAAACACAAGAUCUAUUAAAUUUUGUCUCUGGAAAGAUGCACACAGCUAAGAGCAUUGUUAUCCAGGUGAAGGAGAAAACGGUACCUGGACAGCAGGAAGCGAGAUUUUUCAAUUCGUACACUUUGCCAUCAAUUCAAUUUUGAACUAUGAAAAUUCCCCCCAGUUUUUCUGUCAACCUCUUUCCAUGCUUCUUCUUCCACCACUUCAGGUCUUUAAAAAACAUUUAUUUGCAAGAAUUACUCAUAUAUUCUGAGUAGAAGUUAUUUUCAGGUAUGUGUAUCACAGAUGCCUUCUCCACUCUGUUCCUUGCCUUUUGCUCUGUUGAUGUUGUCUUUCCUUGUCUUAAAUUUAACAACGCCCAUUUAUCAGCAUUUCCCUUUAGGGUUGGUUGGUACUGAUGUCUUGCCAAAAACUGUUUUCUUAUCCCAUGGACACGAUACUCUGCUGUUAGCUGUUAUUUUCUAGAGAGCGCACAUAACUCGAAACCUUUCGAAUUGCCUACCUGCGCCUUGAGGGACGCAGCCCAGUGCGCGUGCGCAGCCCACGGUCUGGGAUUGGACGAAGCCGCACGGCUGGGCGACGGAAAAGCACGUCACUUGUGAGGUGGAAGGAUGAAGUUGACUCACCAUGGUCUCCGCAGCGACCAGAAAGUGGGCGAGGAUGGACCCCCUUAACCUGGCACCAUCUUUGCCUCGAGCAGAGGGGCCCCCGGGGCCAGGAGACCCGGGCUGGCUGGUGAGGUUGUGUUGGGCGCCUGAGGAGCACCAGACGCGUAUGAGACGGAAGAGUCUGCUGCAGGCGAGGGUCAUGGACUUCCUCACCUCCACGGCCGUCCUGCCCCUGCUGUUCGGCUGUGUGGGGGUCUUCAGUCUCUUGAAGUUGCUGCAGUGGCUGCGCAUGAAGGCCUACAUCCGGGACGCCGUGGUGGUCAUCACAGGCGCCACGUCGGGCCUGGGGCGAGAAUGCGCCAGAGUCUUCUACGCUGCGGGCGCUAAGCUGGUGCUCUGUGGCCGCAACGCCAAGGCCCUGGAAGAGCUCACUGAAGAACUCGCUGCGUCGCAGGCCGCCAAGGUGCAGACACACAGGCCUUGCUCGGUGACCUUCGACCUCUCAGACCCCGGGUGCAUAGUGGGGGCGGCCGCCGAGAUCUUGCGGUGCUUUGGCCACGUGGAUGUGCUCAUCAACAACGCCGGGGUGGGCUACCGCGGCACCGUCGUAGACACCAGCACAGACGUGGACAGGAGAGUCAUGGAGAUCAACUACUUUGGCCCAGUUGCUCUGACGAAAGCGCUCCUGCCCUCCAUGGUGAGACGGCGCCAGGGCCAUGUCGUCGCCAUUAGCAGCAUCCAGGGGAGAAUCAGCAUCCCCUUCCGGUCAGCGUGUGAGUACUUCCUGCACCUCCUCCAUUUCUUGGCUGAUUUCCUGAUGAUGAAACAACACACUUACUGUCCGGCCUCUGGAGCAGAGUGCCCGGGUGCAGAUCCCAGCUCCACACCUUACGCACCUGCGACCUUGGCCAGUGCUCCAUCUGCUCUGUCCCCAGUCCUUGUCUGCAGGGUUCCAGCCUGGGAGGGGCCUCUAGGAGGAGACUGACUGACUGUGAGUGUGAGUGCAGGGCCACAGUGGACGCGGCAGACGGGGCUCAGCGUCGGCCUUGGGGCUUCAGGGCAGGGACGCGCUGUGGUCUUUGUCCGCACUUGGGUCUGGCCUCACCGAGUUCUGUUCUCUCACCGUGACUGCAUCUGGCACACUUGGCUGGUCGAGCACCUGUGAUGAGCAGGCUGGCCCGUCGGCCAACCCAAGGGUGCUGUCCCCCACUUCCCCAUACAGUGGGGCACGUGGGAUGGUCAUGGUGGCCUGAUCAGUGCCCAGGAGGGCCGAGUCCAGGGCGACGGUGAUGGUGGUCAGGUCGGCACAGCCUGAGAGCCAUGGGGCCCUGCCAUGUGUCAGGGUGCGCUCACUCCUCAGCUUGCAGCCUGGGCGCCGGCCCCAGGGAGGCUCGGCAGUGAGUCCAGAUGCUGCGGAAACUGCCACGUGACUUGCUGGUGUCUGGGCUGCUGGGCGCCCCUUUCCUCAGGCAUGCGCGGGGUCUGAACCGAGGAUGCGCUGUCGGUGGGGACGCUGUGUGUUUUCCAAGAGGGUCCUCACAGGGUCACUCUGUCCCCUUGGACGCUGUGUUGGGAGGCUGUCACUGACGAUCUGAGGGCUCUUCAGGUGCAAGGCCAUCCUGUUGAAGUCAUCAGAGGAAACCCGCAGGGAGUGGGCGUGGGUCUGUGUCCCUCCCCCCCCCCGCCCCACCUGCAGGGAUGUUGCUGGAAGCACAGUGUCAGUGACAGAACCUGGAACAGCCCACGAAGACAGUCCCGGGGUCUGUGACCUGUGACCACGAGGAGCGGGGCUGCAUGGAGGCCGCCAGCCGCCUGCAGGUGGAGAGUGGCUGGCAGGACUGACGCGCCCUUGCUGCAGGAGCUGUGCACACAAUGCCCGUGGACCCCCCAUGUUCCCGGCUGUGAGCGUGUUACUCCUGGUGCGUGUGCGCGCGCACGUGCGCACACGUGGAGGUUUCCUGAGCCCCUUGAGAGGCGGCGCCCCUUCACUCCUACGCAG
RNA transcript from Camelus dromedarius (Arabian camel), 3479 nucleotides. It is a transcript of the gene named dehydrogenase/reductase 7B, with no coding region annotated. NCBI's taxonomy places the organism in Eukaryota, Metazoa, Chordata, Mammalia, Artiodactyla, Camelidae. The record is from RefSeq and is a predicted model, not a curated record. The transcript is spliced from 9 exons.